This 502-nucleotide ribosomal RNA is filed under the name uncultured bacterium. RNAcentral's name for it is "partial 16S ribosomal RNA". It matches the Rfam family "Bacterial small subunit ribosomal RNA", at positions 30 to 523 of the family's 1533-position model. The record is from RNAcentral.
AUUGAACGCUGGCGGCAUGCCUUACACAUGCAAGUCGAACGGCAGCACGGGUGCUUGCACCUGGUGGCGAGUGGCGAACGGGUGAGUAAUGCAUCGGAACGUACCGUGUAAUGGGGGAUAACGUAGCGAAAGUUACGCUAAUACCGCAUACGACCUGAGGGUGAAAGCAGGGGAUCGCAAGACCUUGCGUUAUACGAGCGGCCGAUGUCAGAUUAGCUAGUUGGUGAGGUAAAGGCUCACCAAGGCGACGAUCUGUAGCGGGUCUGAGAGGAUGAUCCGCCACACUGGGACUGAGACACGGCCCAGACUCCUACGGGAGGCAGCAGUGGGGAAUUUUGGACAAUGGGGGCAACCCUGAUCCAGCCAUGCCGCGUGAGUGAAGAAGGCCUUCGGGUUGUAAAGCUCUUUCGGCCGGGAAGAAAUCGCACAGGCUAAUACUCUGUGUGGAUGACGGUACCGGCAUAAGAAGCACCGGCUAACUACGUGCCAGCAGCCGCCGUAA